GUUAGGAAUAUUGGACAAUGGGCGCAAGCCUGAUCCAGCCAUGCCGCGUGAGUGAUGAAGGCCUUCGGGUUGUAAAGCUCUUUAGCCGAUGAUUAUAAUGACUGUAGUCGGAAAAUAAGCCCCGGCUAACUUCGUGCCAGCAGCCGCGGUAAUACGAAGGGGGCGAGCGUUAUUCGGAAUCACUGGGCGUAAAGCGUGCGUAGGCGGCUUUGCAAGUUGGGAGUGAAAGCCCAGGGCUCAACCCUGGAAUUGCUCUCAAAACUGCAAGGCUCGAAUUCGGGAGAGGAUAGCGGAAUUGUCAGUGUAGCAGUGAAAUGCGUAGAUAUUGACAGGAACACCAGUGGCGUAAGCGGCUUUCUGGACCGAUAUUGACGCUGAGGCACGAAAGCGUGGGGAUCAAACAGGAUUAGAUACCCGUGUAGUCC
Molecule: ribosomal RNA, 425 nt
Filed under: uncultured bacterium
Lineage: Bacteria
Description: bacterial SSU rRNA
Rfam family: Bacterial small subunit ribosomal RNA
Source: RNAcentral